UGUAAGUGCAGGUAUUCAUACACUGCACACGAGUGGUCUACGAUCCUUUGGUUUAAGCGUAAUGUAAGUACGUCGCCCACUUGGGAACCACCUUCGGGUGGUUUUUCUUUUGUUU
Molecule: non-coding RNA, 115 nt
Filed under: unclassified sequences
Description: DUF3800-I RNA
Rfam family: DUF3800-I RNA
About the family: Actinobacteria, Firmicutes, Fusobacteria, Proteobacteria (1 example), Tenericutes (2 examples). Terminator (Clostridia)
Source: Rfam by way of RNAcentral